GAAACCUCAACAUCUAGGUGGUCCCAUGAUCCUGGAUCUUGCACAGCACCAAGGCACUGGGAGCACUUUCUUCUAUGGCCAUGGACCACAGUCUCCUGCAAUGGCUGCCUUCAUUCCUGUCUCCCUCUUUAGACAGAAAGCUCCCAAGCUGAGGACCUGUAUUUGUUCAUCUGUGCAUCCUAAGCCCCUCAAAGUGCCACCCAUCUGACCCAGGAGGCAGAGAGGCUGAAGAACCAGAUGCAGUGAGAGUCCAGCUGUAGCUCCUUGCCAACCUGGUUACUCAGCAGAUUGGUGACAACCCGUGAGAGCCACUGGAGUGUCUCAUGUCCUGCAGCA
This is a long non-coding RNA of Mustela erminea (ermine), 336 nucleotides long. RefSeq lists it as uncharacterized. The record is from RefSeq and is a predicted model, not a curated record. The transcript is spliced from 3 exons. NCBI's taxonomy places the organism in Eukaryota, Metazoa, Chordata, Mammalia, Carnivora, Mustelidae.